RNAcentral lists this vault RNA (104 nucleotides) under Labrus bergylta (ballan wrasse). RNAcentral describes it as "Vault RNA (ENSLBEG00000025454.1)". It matches the Rfam family "Vault RNA". From Rfam's summary of the family: This family of RNAs are found as part of the enigmatic vault ribonucleoprotein complex. Lineage: Eukaryota; Metazoa; Chordata; Actinopteri; Labriformes; Labridae. The record is from Rfam by way of RNAcentral.
GCACUGGUUUAGCUCAGUGGUUACUUCGAACACAUUUUCUCCUGUAGAAAAACUGCUCUCCAUCCCUCCCUGGGAUCGAACCACGGGCGCUGUCCAGUGUUUUU